GAUGAACGCUAGCUACAGGCUUAACACAUGCAAGUCGAGGGGUCUUUUGGAGCUUGCUUUAAAAGACGACCGGCGCACGGGUGAGUAACGCGUAUCCAACCUGCCCUUCAUAUUGGGAUAGCCUCUCGAAAGGGAGAUUAAUACCGAAUAACAUAGUUUAGUUGCCUGACCAGACUAUGAAAGCUCCGGCGAUGAAGGAUGGGGAUGCGUUCCAUUAGGUAGUAGGCGGGGUAACGGCCCACCUAGCCAACGAUGGAUAGGGGUUCUGAGAGGAAGGUCCCCCACACUGGAACUGAGACACGGUCCAGACUCCUACGGGAGGCAGCAGUGAGGAAUAUUGGUCAAUGGGCGCAAGCCUGAACCAGCCAAGUAGCGUGAAGGAUGACUGCCCUAUGGGUUGUAAACUUCUUUUAUACGCGAACAACCGCAGGUACGUGUACCUGUCUGCGUGUAGCGUAUGAAUAAGCAUCGGCUAACUCCGUG
Molecule: ribosomal RNA, 483 nt
Filed under: uncultured bacterium
Lineage: Bacteria
Description: bacterial SSU rRNA
Rfam family: Bacterial small subunit ribosomal RNA
Source: RNAcentral